This 85-nucleotide transfer RNA is filed under the name Felis catus (domestic cat). It matches the Rfam family "tRNA". From Rfam's summary of the family: Transfer RNA (tRNA) molecules are approximately 80 nucleotides in length. Their secondary structure includes four short double-helical elements and three loops (D, anti-codon, and T loops). The record is from Rfam by way of RNAcentral. Lineage: Eukaryota; Metazoa; Chordata; Mammalia; Carnivora; Felidae.
GCCUGGGUGGCUCAGUUGGUUGAGCCUCCGACUUCGGCUCAGGUCAUGAUCUCAUAGUCUGUGGGUUCGAGUCCCGCAUCAGGCU